GCUUGUUCUGAUUAAAUACGGCUGCCUAGCAUCAGUUGGCUGGCCGACCAGCAGAGUUACCGGCUCUGCUGAGGAUUUCACUCGUCCUGCAGCCCUAAAGACCACGCUGUUUGUCUCAUUCCUUUGAGCCUUCAAGGUGACACCACCCAAAAGGUUUGUAUCUUGGACGGGCUACAGGCAGGCUCACUGCUGCUUCUUCUCUGCUUCCUGACUCACACGCCAUCGCCUGCUUCUCUGCCUUGGAGCUGGUGGACAAUGGACUGAAACCUCUACAAAACCUCAGCACACGUAGAGAUGGUGACUGAUUUCAACAGCCAGCAAGGGUGACUGGGAUUGUCACCCCAAAGCAGAGGCACCACAGGAUCAUGUCAGCUGGGUGCUAUGAGCCAAGGUUACUGUAGAAGGACCUCUGCCCUGAAGAAGGAGGCACCUGGAAGGUUCCUUUGGAUGGGAAGAAUGGUUCUGUGUUGCCACAAUCGCCACCAUGAGAAGGCCUCACAGCAAGGCAUUCAGACCAAAUCUACAGACAUAGCGAGCAGUAAGGUGCCCUGGGUGGGUGUGGGUAGAUCAAAGGAGAAAUACACAGCUUCUGCAGUCAAGAACUCAGCCUGCUACAGCAGUCAGCAAACUUGUGGCUUGUGGGCCCCUCUGGCUUACCACCUAUGGGUGUAAGUAACACUCCAUAGGAAUGCAGGUUGACCUAUUUGUUUAUGUUGUUUUUACCUGCUUGGUAUCAAUCAUAAAGCAAUUUGAGUAGUUUUGAACUGGUAGCCCACAGAGCCUAUUUAUUGUUAUCUACAGAGUAUUUACUGACUCUGUAGAAAAAGUUGGUCACCAUUGGUCUUCUGCAGAGACCCAGCCAUGCCUAGUUAACUCAUUCCCAUCUGAAACACUUUGAACAGGAUCAGAUAUCAAUACUGGUGAGUGGUCAGUCGGCUGGAUGCUGCCCAGGACAUUGCUAUGAUGGGCAGACCAGUCAUCAGUUAUGUCAGCCCAGAAACGGGACUUGUAAGUUCACCUGGACAUAACAGAAGUGUUCGUGAUGGAUUGACAGGUGCCCAAAAUCACAAUGUAUGAACCAGAAAAGGGCAGGUGCUGUGGGGUAGCCCUUCAGGGAAUGGAAUGAGUCCUACAGGGCCACUGUUUCUGUACAGGACCACACGUAUCCCUGUGUCUGGUUCUCUCUAGGUCGGCUGAGGAGUAUAACAGACAUGGACCUUUGGGAGAGUUAGUUCUGCUCCCAGUGAGACCAGAGGACAAACUUGCCCUGCUCUUUUCUGGAUGACACUGCUCCAGUGCCUGGAGCUGAAGGUCCCCAUCAGGGUUAAUGUUUGCUUGAAUUCUGCAAGUGCAGCACUGAUGGGAUGAUUUUUCCCAAGCUUUGAGUUUGUUAGAGAAUAUUAAUUCUGCUCCUAGGUCUUUCUCAUUUGUUUCUCCACAUUGACUUCUUUUCUUAGGUUUAUUAAUGUAUCAGAGUUUUUUUGAUGUAUUAAUUUGUAUGAAUUUGCAGGAAGUGAUCUUUUUGGCUUGUUGGAAAACUUCAUUUGACUUAUGUGGUUUUUUUUUUUUCUAUUAUUUGACUCUGAAACACUUGGUGCUUGUGUUUUAAGUGUAUUAGUUAUAAGAAAAAUAUGGUUGAAUUAAAUAAUAGCCAUCUUUGAACUGGUGAGUUUAACUCUUUUAUUUAUUGUGAUCACUGAUAUGCUAUAUUUGGAUUUACUGUUGUUUUUUCAUAUUUUCUACUUGUCCUGUUGAGUCCUUUUCUUAUUCAUUUUUCUCUACUAUUUUAGACCUUGUAGAUUCUAAGUUUUUUGGUUGAAGUUAUCUCCUUUCUCCUAAGAGUCAGUGACUUUUAGCUUAACAGGCUAUUACUGUAUAAUAUUUUAUUCCUAUAAAAUGUUCUCUGAAGUAUAUCACAUACAGAAGGAUACAUGUGUGCAUGUCUGUGCAUGCAUGUGCACACACACACAUGCACAUUCAUGUGCUCACACCCACUCUCAUGUCUACUAGUUUGAGAAACAGAAUAUGGCCUCAUAAUUCACAAUUUCCUAAAUUAAAUGUUACUAUUAGCGUUGAUAUUUGUUCAGCUUUAUCCACAUGGUUGCCGUCUUCUUUGAUUACAUUACUGUCUUUCUUACAUCUUGGGGCCCUUUGCCUUAUUUCUGAAGUAUAUGUCCUUCAUAAGGAUCUACUGAUGCUAAAUUGUAUUUUUUAUCCGAAAACAUUCUGUAUUUCACACUUAGUUCUUCAAAGGUAUAUUUUGUUGACUAUGCAAUUAGCAAUUACUUUCUUUCACUGUUUUGAAGACAUUUUUUAUUCUUUUGGCUUCUAAUAUUGAAGAUAAAAAGUCAGAUAUUGAGCAGGGAGGGGCUGGGGGUUUAGCUCAGCGGCAUAAGCCCUGCCUUGCAAGCAGGCGGUCGUGAGUUCAAUCCCUGGUACCGAUAAAAAUGAAGAAGACAAAAAAAAAAAAAAAAGAUAUUGAGCAGGGUAAAUUAUUUUCUUUUUUAUUUUUAACUACCUGGUUUGGAAUGUUUCUUGAGGUUUUGUAGUUUCAUGAGGAUAAGUCUGGAGGCAAAUAUAUUUUGGAAUAUUUUAGGAUCCAUAAUAUUUUUUAAAUAUUGUUUCUAUCCAAUCUCUUUAGUCACUUUCUCUGAUCCAUUUUGGAUGAAUCUUUAAAGUGCUCAAACUUCCAUAUCAAUAAACCUCCCUUUCAUGGUUUUUCUCUUUACCUCUCUAAGUGUAUUCCAAGUAGUUUUGUUAUACCCCUGUGCUAAUUUAUUCCAUUUUUCAGUUCUCUAGUGAGAGCAUGUCGUUAACACAUGCCAGUCCCUUCACCGUCUACCAUCUACCAUCACUCACUAGCACAACAAAGCUGAGUUUUUUUUGACAGAGCCUGUGUGGCUUGCAAAGCCUGAA
Molecule: long non-coding RNA, 2916 nt
Organism: Cavia porcellus (domestic guinea pig)
Lineage: Eukaryota; Metazoa; Chordata; Mammalia; Rodentia; Caviidae
Exons: 3
Source: RefSeq, a predicted model, not a curated record